This is a long non-coding RNA of Hyaena hyaena (striped hyena), 861 nucleotides long. RefSeq lists it as uncharacterized. The transcript has 4 exons. The record is from RefSeq and is a predicted model, not a curated record. Lineage: Eukaryota; Metazoa; Chordata; Mammalia; Carnivora; Hyaenidae.
GAGAAAGCCCCACUCUUUGGGAACUACCACUCUCAUGUGACUUUCCUUUGGCAAAUAUCUACUCAUUGGUCUCCAUGAGCUGAUGGUGAACAAGAGCACUAGAAUCCUUCACCUCAAGGAGUUCGUAGUCUGCUGGAGAAUUACAAAUAGUGGGCAAAGGGGAAAAGAAGAAGUUCUCAAGCAGAAGGAACAACAUAAAGCCUGUUCUAAAAGUGGUGAGAAGGAUUUGGAAGGAUGCUAAAUUGGAAGUUUGAACCAUGCCAGUGCGAAGUAAAGAAAGUCUAAGACAAUUGCUGAAGAGAGGAAGAGGAGGGGCAAGAAAGUAAACAUAUUUAUGAGGCAGAAUUGGUACAACCCGGAAAGAAUAAUUUCUUGGCUACAGAUUUGUUUCCUUCCCUUUCCAGCUCUACAGUUUUAAAAGUUUAAAUGUGGGAGUGAAAAUGAUAAAUUAUGACUCUCACGUGCACACCACUUUUUGGCAAAUCCAGUUAACCUUAAAAGUGCCCCUAUCGUUGACAAAGAAAAACAUUUCUAAAUUUGAUUUUGGAAUUUAUUUCUGAUUUUAAUUAGCAGGUAUUCUGUAAUCUACUCUAACUUCUCUUCCUGACAUCAAAGCCCAUCAGCACAGGCGGAAAACUCUGUCAGCUUACCUAAAAGCCCAAGAAUGAAGACUGCUUAAAUUUCUGGCAGUUCUAAAGAGCAAUACAUUUGAGAGUGUAGACUGCUAGUAAUGAUACUAUGUUCUCACCUAGAUGGCACGUUUCUGGCACUAGAAAAAAACUCUUCACCUUUCUUGUAAUUGGCUUAUCCCAAGUCCCAAGACUGUUUUUCCUAUCAUUGUGCAGAUUGCCAUGGAAAUAA